GUACUCGCUUCGGCGGUACAUAUACUAAAAUUGGAGCGAUACAGAGAAGAUUAGCAUGGCCUCUGCGCAAGGAUGACACGUAAAAUGGUGAAGCGUUCCACGUUUUU
This is a small nuclear RNA of Schistocerca gregaria, 107 nucleotides long. NCBI's taxonomy places the organism in Eukaryota, Metazoa, Arthropoda, Insecta, Orthoptera, Acrididae. The record is from RefSeq and is a predicted model, not a curated record.